RNAcentral lists this ribosomal RNA (400 nucleotides) under uncultured bacterium. RNAcentral's name for it is "bacterial SSU rRNA". It matches the Rfam family "Bacterial small subunit ribosomal RNA", at positions 356 to 773 of the family's 1533-position model. The record is from RNAcentral.
GGGGAAUAUUGGACAAUGGGCGAAAGCCUGAUCCAGCAAUGCCGCGUGAGUGAUGAAGGCCUUAGGGUUGUAAAGCUCUUUUACCAGGGAUGAUAAUGACAGUACCUGGAGAAUAAGCUCCGGCUAACUCCGUGCCAGCAGCCGCGGUAAUACGGAGGGAGCUAGCGUUGUUCGGAAUUACUGGGCGUAAAGCGUGCGUAGGCGGCUAUUCAAGUCAGAGGUGAAAGCCUGGAGCUCAACUCCAGAACUGCCUUUGAAACUAGAUAGCUAGAAUCUUGGAGAGGUGAGUGGAAUUCCGAGUGUAGAGGUGAAAUUCGUAGAUAUUCGGAAGAACACCAGUGGCGAAGGCGACUCACUGGACAAGUAUUGACGCUGAGGUACGAAAGCGUGGGGAGCAAAC